UGGGGAAUCUUGCGCAAUGAGGGAAACCCUGACGCAGUGACGCCGCGUGAGUGAUGAAGGCCUUCGGGUCGUAAAGCUCUGUGGGGAGGGACGAAUAAGUAUUGGCUAACAUCCAAUAUGAUGACGGUACCUCCUUAGCAAGCACCGGCUAACUCUGUGCCAGCAGCCGCGGUAAGACAGAGGGUGCAAACGUUGUUCGGAAUUACUGGGCGUAAAGCGCGUGUAGGCGGCGUAGCAAGUCGGGCGUGAAAGCCCACGGCUCAACCGUGGAAGAGCACUCGAAACUGCUGCGCUAGAGUUCUGGAGAGGAAGGCGGAAUGCUUGGUGUAGAGGUGAAAUGCGUAGAUAUCAAGAGGAACACCUGAGGUGAAGACGGGUUGCUGGGCUGACACUGACGCUGAGGCGCGAAAGCCAGGGGAGCAAACGGGAUUAGAUACCCCCGUAGUCCCUGAGCGGGCUGGCAAGGCGCAU
RNAcentral lists this ribosomal RNA (471 nucleotides) under uncultured bacterium. RNAcentral's name for it is "bacterial SSU rRNA". It matches the Rfam family "Bacterial small subunit ribosomal RNA", at positions 355 to 825 of the family's 1533-position model. The record is from RNAcentral.